AUACGAAGGGGGCUAGCGUUGUUCGGAAUUACUGGGCGUAAAGGGCGCGUAGGCGGUACUUCAAGUCAGGCGUGAAAGCCCCGGGCUCAACCUGGGAACCGCGCUUGAGACUGGAGAACUAGAGUUCGGGAGAGGAUGGUGGAAUUCCCAGUGUAGAGGUGAAAUUCGUAGAUAUUGGGAAGAACACCGAUGGCGAAGGCAGCCAUCUGGACCGACACUGACGCUGAGGCGCGAAAGCGUGGGGAGCAAACAGGAUUAGAUACCCUGGUAGUCCACGCCGUAAACGAUGAGUGCUAGACGUUGGGGUCCUUAGGGCUUCGGUGUCGCAGCUAACGCAUUAAGCACUCCGCCUGGGGAGUACGGCCGCAAGGUUAAA
This 376-nucleotide ribosomal RNA is filed under the name uncultured bacterium. RNAcentral describes it as "bacterial SSU rRNA". It matches the Rfam family "Bacterial small subunit ribosomal RNA", at positions 523 to 898 of the family's 1533-position model. The record is from RNAcentral.